Molecule: long non-coding RNA, 1174 nt
Organism: Ostrea edulis (European flat oyster)
Lineage: Eukaryota; Metazoa; Mollusca; Bivalvia; Ostreida; Ostreidae
Exons: 2
Source: RefSeq, a predicted model, not a curated record
CCAAGUUGUUCAAAUAGGGGUGAAUAUGGUGAACUGUGAACAACAUGGAAUAUCCUUGCUGCUGGCUUUUGACGUUUAUUAGGGUUAGCCGUGCACGAGGAAGCAUUGGCCCGUAUUGCGAAGCGAUGAUGUUUCACUAACCAUGGAUCUGCAAACUGAGUUGAUAACAGAAGUAUAUUGGUGCGUAGUGGCGGAUCUUAGGGAGGCAAUGUGGGAAUUGCAAUUCCCUCCCCUUUUUAGAUGAAUAUUUAUAGCAGAAAAUGUUGUGUUUUUUGGUCAUUUUUGAAAUCUUCAAUCCCUUUGCAGAGGAAAAGAUACAAAUUUGGGUCGCAACUACCCCCUCCCUUUGAAAAUUUCUGAAUCCACCGCUGUUCUGAGUUGUCCGUGUGAACUCCAAAUAGUUUUUCAGUGUUUAAUAUUGUCUAGAAGAUGACCAGAAAUUUGAGAUCUAAAGACUAGGAAUUGAUCUGAAUUAUGAAAUGUUUUACAAACUUCGGAGUCUGUAGAACAAACGGUCCAUUUGUCUGAUCUUUUUCACCAGAUCUAGUCAAAAGGUCCCACGUUCCGAAGCCUUUUCAAAGACUUAAUGCCGACAUAUUUCAUCGAAGUAGCACUAUGAGAUUGUUUAUUAAUCAGAGGACGAGACAAAUAGUAAUAAUGAAUUGAAAUAAUAUAAUACAGUUUCCAUUCUCUCCUUUCAGGGGUUUACUUUACGCACGCACAAACGCACGCACGUAGAUACAAAGAAACGAGCAAAGGUUUUCAAUCAUUUACUUUAAUUGUUGCUACCAUGACAAUCAUACACACAUAUAUACAUGUACAUACGAAUACCAGAUACCACGCCAUUCUACAUAACCACUAAUUACAAAUGGUAGAAAAAUUAUAUCUUAUUACACACAAUGAUAGUGGACAUAUAAUAAACCCUUUCACGAAGUACGAAACCCUGGGAUACUUCAAUAGUAUUUCUAUAAGUAAGAGUUAUCUUUCUUAUCAUGAUAAAAUAAAGUUGGAUGUCGUGGAGUGACAGUUAGUUGUCAUCUCACUACAUAAUGCGUGUUACAGUUAUUUGUCAUCUCACUACAUAAUGCGUGUGACAGUUAUUUGUCAUCUCCUACAUAAUGCGUGUGACAGUUAUUUGUCAUCUCCUACAUAAUGUGUGUGACAGUUAUUUGUC